CCUACGGGAGGCAGCAGUCGAGAAUCAUUCACAAUGUGGGAAACCCUGAUGGUGCGACGCCGCGUGGGGGAAUGAAGGUCUUCGGAUUGUAAACCCCUGUCAUGUGGGAGCAAAUUAAAAAGAUAGUACCACAAGAGGAAGAGACGGCUAACUCUGUGCCAGCAGCCGCGGUAAGACAGAGGUCUCAAGCGUUGUUCGGAAUCACUGGGCGUAAAGCGUGCGUAGGCUGUUUCGUAAGUCGUGUGUGAAAGGCGCGGGCUCAACCCGCGGACGGCACAUGAUACUGCGAGACUAGAGUAAUGGAGGGGGAACCGGAAUUCUCGGUGUAGCAGUGAAAUGCGUAGAUAUCGAGAGGAACACUCGUGGCGAAGGCGGGUUCCUGGACAUUAACUGACGCUGAGGCACGAAGGCCAGGGGAGCGAAAGGGAUUAGAUACCCCUGUAGUC
RNAcentral lists this ribosomal RNA (446 nucleotides) under uncultured bacterium. RNAcentral's name for it is "partial 16S ribosomal RNA". It matches the Rfam family "Bacterial small subunit ribosomal RNA", at positions 338 to 795 of the family's 1533-position model. The record is from RNAcentral.